Larimichthys crocea (large yellow croaker) is the source of this 177-nucleotide small nuclear RNA. Its record names the gene U2. It matches the Rfam family "U2 spliceosomal RNA". From Rfam's summary of the family: U2 is a small nuclear RNA (snRNA) component of the spliceosome (involved in pre-mRNA splicing). Complementary binding between U2 snRNA (in an area lying towards the 5' end but 3' to hairpin I) and the branchpoint sequence (BPS) of the intron results the bulging out of an unpaired adenosine, on the BPS, which initiates a nucleophilic attack at the intronic 5' splice site, thus starting the first of two transesterification reactions that mediate splicing. NCBI's taxonomy places the organism in Eukaryota, Metazoa, Chordata, Actinopteri, Sciaenidae. The record is from Ensembl.
AGCUCCUCGACUCAGACCGAGUGUAGUAUCUGUUCUCAUCAGUUUAAUAUGUGAUGCAUCCCUGACCCGGGGCCAUGUAUUAAAUUGAUAUUUGGAACAGCGUGAUGAGUCGGGACUUUCUCCGUCCACUCCACGCAUCGACCUGGUAUCGCAGCAUCUCCGGGUGUUUGACACCAU